GGGUAAUUGGCGCAGUCGGUUAGCGCGCGGGUCUCAUAAUCCCGAGGUCGUGAGUUCGAGCCUCACAUUACCCAAAUU
RNAcentral lists this transfer RNA (78 nucleotides) under Plasmodium yoelii. RNAcentral's name for it is "tRNA PY17X_1306000". It matches the Rfam family "tRNA". From Rfam's summary of the family: Transfer RNA (tRNA) molecules are approximately 80 nucleotides in length. Their secondary structure includes four short double-helical elements and three loops (D, anti-codon, and T loops). Lineage: Eukaryota; Apicomplexa; Aconoidasida; Haemosporida; Plasmodiidae. The record is from RNAcentral.